This 439-nucleotide ribosomal RNA is filed under the name uncultured bacterium. RNAcentral describes it as "partial 16S ribosomal RNA". It matches the Rfam family "Bacterial small subunit ribosomal RNA", at positions 339 to 795 of the family's 1533-position model. The record is from RNAcentral.
CUACGGGGGGCUGCAGUGAGGAAUAUUGCACAAUGGGGGGAACCCUGAUGCAGCAACGCCGCGUGGAGGAUGACGCAUUUCGGUGUGUAAACUCCUUUUAUAUGUCAAGAAAAUGACGGUAGCAUAUGAAUAAGCACCGGCUAACUCCGUGCCAACAGCCGCGGUAAUACGGAGGGUGCAAGCGUUACUCGGAAUCACUGGGCGUAAAGGACGCGUAGGCGGGUUGGAAAGUCAGGUGGGAAAUCCUACAGCUUAACUGUAGAACUGCACUUGAAACUUCUAAUCUAGAGUAUGGGAGGGGCAGAUGGAAUUAGUGGUGUAGGGGUAAAAUCCGUAGAUAUCACUAGGAAUACCGAAAGCGAAGGCGAUCUGCUGGAACAUUACUGACGCUAAGGCGUGAAAGCGUGGGGAGCAAACAGGAUUAGAUACCCCGGUAGUC